GACGAGAUCUUGGGGAAAAAUCAAACUGUAUUUAUAAAAGAGAAAAUUGAAGUCUGAUCCUUGUUUUUUAAGAAAAAUGUGAACAAAGAUCGACAGAGAAAACAUACCCGAAAGUUGCAAAAAGAACCUUGUGUAAAACAACAUAUUGAACAAUGGAGUUGAUAAUUUUCGUUAUACUUUUUUUUGGAGUGAGAGGAAAAACGUGGGAGAAUGAAGUCAGUCUUGUAGAUUUCUAUGAUACAUUCGAUCCUGAGUUUACGGAGGACCUUGCAAGAAAGUUUGAAUUUCCGAAAGAAAACGGACUUGAUUUUAAAAACACUCCAGAAUGCAGAAAGUUCAAGAAAUUUCCUCACUCGAAAGAUUCAUGUCCUGUCCCAAAAGGUUUCACUGGUCACUGGGGUACUGGUUGCGA
Long non-coding RNA from Styela clava, 412 nucleotides. RefSeq lists it as uncharacterized. Lineage: Eukaryota; Metazoa; Chordata; Ascidiacea; Stolidobranchia; Styelidae. The record is from RefSeq and is a predicted model, not a curated record.